GACGAACGCUGGCGGCGUGCUUAACACAUGCCAGUCGAACGGAAAGGCCCUGCUUUUGUGGGGUGCUCGAGUGGCGAACGGGUGAGUAACACGUGAGUAACCUGCCCUUGACUUUGGGAUAACUUCAGGAAACUGGGGCUAAUACCGGAUAGGAGCUCCUGCUGCAUGGUGGGGGUUGGAAAGUUUCGGCGGUUGGGGAUGGACUCGCGGCUUAUCAGCUUGUUGGUGGGGUAGUGGCUUACCAAGGCUUUGACGGGUAGCCGGCCUGAGAGGGUGACCGGCCACAUUGGGACUGAGAUACGGCCCAGACUCCUACGGGAGGCAGCAGUGGGGAAUAUUGCACAAUGGGCGGAAGCCUGAUGCAGCAACGCCGCGUGCGGGAUGACGGCCUUCGGGUUGUAAACCGCUUUCGCCUGUGACGAAGCGAGAGUGACGGUAAUGGGUAAAGAAGCACCGGCUAACUACGUG
Molecule: ribosomal RNA, 468 nt
Filed under: uncultured bacterium
Lineage: Bacteria
Description: partial 16S ribosomal RNA
Rfam family: Bacterial small subunit ribosomal RNA
Source: RNAcentral